GGGGGACGCAGAAGGAGAGCGGGGAAUAGUGGGAGGGAAAUCGUCCCUCUGCUAGUGAGCAGGACUGCUUUUCUUGUCUUCUUCGUCACUAAUGUUGCAAUAUGUUGAAGUUCUUCAGUGCCCGGGACGAUGAGAAUGAAAGCCUAUUGGGUUCAUUGACAGAAGAUGAAUCGGAUGCUCCGUCUCUGAUGGAUGCUAAGCACCACUGGCUCCACAGACCCUGUCUGCUGAUGCUCAAAGAUGGGGAUGUCACAAAGCCAGGACAGCUGGGCUGUGGACACAUCGGAUCAGAUUCCCCUGCAAAACCCAAAGUCCAUUCAGAGGGGGUCCUGAGCCCAGGGGUGGCUCCUGUUUCCCAACUGGAGACCCCCGCUCAGAGACUGAUGAGACAGCUGGAGGAGGGAAACUGCACUGUGACCACUCUUUCAACAUGGGGAGAGAGGAAUUUUGGGGAGGCUUCUACCCCCCUAAUGCUCAGCCCCUCCAAAGCUGCUGGGCCAGAGGUGGAGGUGGAGGUGGAAGAGGAAGUGAAGAACAAGCCCCAGCCAGCCUCCUCCAAGGAGGACUCUGUGGUUGAGGAAAAGGAGCUGGAGGAGAGUGGACUUGAGCUGCAAGACCCCCCCAGUGGCUCAGAUGCCCUAGGCCCUUACAUUGACGACCCGUCUGGUCCCCCUGUGGAGGAGCCCUAUGGAGGCGGCCAUGAUGCCCAGAUCCAAGGGCCUAGACUGGGGCUUCAGAGCCAGACCAAAGCCAACGGACUAGCUAAUGAUGAGACCAACGCCAACAGAGUUCAAGCAGAUAGUGAAGAGGGAGCUGUGGGGGACUGCACACCUUCCCCUAUGUCUCCAUUGGUGGAUCCAGACAAUGAGCUACAGGCCGGCCCCGCGGGCAUUCUGUCCAGGGAGCGAGGCACUAUCCUCGGGGAGGUGGCCCCCGUGUGGGUCCCUGACGCCCAGGCGCUGGUCUGUAUGAUGUGUGAAGUCAGGUUCACCUUCACCAAGAGAAGGCACCACUGUCGCGCCUGUGGCAAGGUAUUCUGUUCAGUGUGCUCCGGUCUGAAGUUUCGACUAACACACCUGGAUGGGAAGGAGGGGCGUGUCUGUGUCUCCUGUCACUCAACUCUAGUGAAACGAACCCCUCCAAGGGGGAGGAGGAAGGUGUGGUUUGCUGAUGAGAUCCUAUCCAAUGAGAAAUCCGACUCUGCACCUUGUACCCCAAUCAGAGGCCCCACCUUUUCACCGCUGUUAUUGAGGAGAAGUAUAGCUGCUACAAUCAGAAGCGCCACUGGCUCACCACAGACCAGCAGGAGGGCCCCAAUAGCACAGGAGAUGCCCCUGCUCAAUCCUCUGCAGGAGGCGUGUGGGCCCUGUGGCUGGGGUACGGCAGCCUUGGUCAGCAGCCACAUCAGCAGCUCUGCCAACCUCAUCCCACUGGAGGGCCUCCCUCCCAUCCUCACCUCCACCGGAGUCAAAGGAGACUACACAGUCGAGGAGAGGCCCUCUGAGAUGGUUCUCAUCCAGGAGCUGGAGAGCGGCAGGCCCAACUCCCUGGUCUUUGUCCUCAACGCCAACCUACUGGCCAUGGUCAAGCUGGUCAACUAUGUAAACAGGAAGUGCUGGUGUGUGACGUCCAAGGGCAUGCAUGCGGUAGGCCAGGUGGAGGUGGUGGUGCUUCUGCAGUGUCUGCCUGAGGAGAAGAGCUUCCCCAAGGACAUCUUCAGCCACUUCAUACAGCUCUACAGGGACGCCCUCACAGGCAAGGUGCUAAGCCACCUGGGUCUCUCCCAGUUCUCCAGUAGUUUCCUGAGCAGUGAGGAGCAUGCAGGGUUCCUCUGGGUACGCUCCACUCUCCAGUCCCUGCAGGGCCUGCCUAUGCCCAACCAGCCCUUCCUGUUUGGCCUACUCGUCCACCGGGCUGAAGUACCCUGGGCCAAGGCCUUCCCCCUGCGCCUCAUGCUCAGACUGGGGGCUGAGUACAGAUUUUACCCCUGUCCUCUGUACAGUGUGCGCUUCAGAAAGGCUCUUUUUGGGGAAACUGGCCACACCAUCAUGAGGCUGCUAGUAGACUUCAGGAAUUACCGGUACACUCUGCCAGUGGUGCCUGGACUCACUGUAGAUCUGGAGGCUCAGAGGACCUGCAUUAAAAUCCCCACCAAUGGCUAUGAGGAGCUGAUGAGGGCUUUGAAUAAGUCCAAUGAGCAUGUGCUGGCCAUGGGGGCAUGCUUCAACGUGGCGGCAGACUCCCACCUCAUCUGUGUUCAGGGGGACGAUGGCCAGUACCAGACUCAGGCCAUCAGCAUCCACAAUCAGCCUCGCAAAGUCACCGGUUCCUGCUUUUUUGUGUUCAGUGGAGCUCUGAAAGCAGCAUCGGGAUAUCUUGCCAAAUCCAGCAUCGUGGAAGUUGUGUGUGUGGCUGUAUGUAUGUGCAUGUGAGUGUGUGUGUGUCCUUGUUGGUGUCUCUCUCUCUCUCUCUGUGUGUGUGUGUGCGUGUGCGUGUGUGUUUUUUUUUUGCUUUUGCUGUCCCCCUCUCCAGAUGGGCUGAUGGUGCAGAUCACCGUGGAGACCAUGGUGGAGCUUCGCCGGUCGCUACGGGAGAUGAAAGACUACACCAUCACCUGUGGGUCGAUUGACCAGUCAGACAGCCAGGAGCAUGUCCAGGUCCAAUGGCUGGAUAAGGAAUGCACUUUGAAUAAGGGGUGAGUGUUAGGUCAUUAAACUUCUGAUCAGUGUCCCAUGAUUUGUUUUUGUUUUUUGCCUAUCGUUAUCCUACAUUUAUUCUACAGCGUUGUUGGGUGCUUGUUUCUGAUUGGCUAGAAGGGCAUUCUAGAAUAGACAUUAGAACCAGAUGACGGGCCAGUGGGAAAAGAUAUCGGGACGUUGGAAUAGAUAUCAGAACUCUGUGCGAUCAUGACUCAAUAAGCACCUACACAUGCAGACAGUACUUGCUACAAAGUUACAGAACACUAAACCAGCCACCACACAAACUGAACAUGGAUACAUUGUAAAUGCAGGUCCAACGAGAACCCGAUGGUCACUCUGACAGAGCUCCAGAGUUCCUCUGUGGAGAUGGGAGAACCUUUCAGAAGGACAACCAUCUCUGCAGCACCAAUCAUCCCUUUAUGCUAGAGUGGCCAGACGGAAGCCACUCCUCAAUAAAAAUCACAUGACAGCCCACUUGGAGUUUGCCAAAAGGCACCUGAAGGACUCUCAGACCAUGAAAAAUAAAAUUCUCUGGUCUGAUGGAACCAAGAUUGAACUCCUUGAUGAAAACCUGCUCCAGAGCGUUCAGGACCUCAGUCUGAUGCGAAGGUUCACCUUCAAACAGGACAACGACCCUAAGCACAUAGCUAAGACCACGCAGGAGUGGCUUCGGGACAAGUCUCUGAAUGUCCUUGACUGGUCUAGCCAGAGCCCGGAAUAGAACCCGAUCGAACAUCUCUGGAGAGACCUGAAAAUAGCUGUGCAACGACACUCACCAUCCAACUUGACAGAGCUUGAGAGGAUCUGCAGAGAAGAAUGGGAGAAACUCCCCAAAUACAGGUGUGCCAAGCUUGCAGCGUCAUACCCAAGAAGACUUGACGCUGUAAUCUCUGCCAAAGGUGCUUUAACAAAGUAUUAAGUAAAGAGUCUGAAUACUUAUAUAAAUGUAAUAUUUCAGUUUUUUAUUUUUAAUACAUUUGCAAAAAUGUAGAAAAACCUGUUUCAUUAUGAGGUAUUAUGUGUAGAUUGAAAACUAUUAAAUCCAUUAUAGAAUAAGGCUGUAAUGUAACAAAAUGUGGAAAAAGUCAAGGGGUCUGAAUAUUUUCCGAAUGCACUGUAUUGGCACGGUUUUCCCGCCCUCGACGUGCCAAUAUAUCCUCCAGACACCGGCUUUCGGUGAUCACAUGAUCACUUAAGUCUCAACGAGUGUCCCCAACGCUGCGUCGUCAAUUAUUUCCAAGGUAACGUAAAGAACGUUGGCGUUUUAUAUCUUGCUUAAACCUCUCUCACUAACCCCACCCCCUUGUCGCUUCAUCCACCUUUCAAGUCUUCCCCAGACUAUCGGACCCUCUUGUCCAUCGCCGUAGAAUACCCUUUAUCGUCGCUUGCCUUCUUUGUAUGGCUGUGUGCGUGCGUGCAUGCAUGUGUAUCUUGCAGUGUUAUCAGCCCCAUUGAUGGGAAGUCCAUGGAGUCCGUCAAUAGUGUGAAGAUGUUCCAAAAGUCCGAAUACAAGUCCAAUGGAAAGGUCAUCCGCUGGACAGAGGUGUUCUUUGUACAGAGAGGGGAUCGUCCUAAGAGCCAGGGUGACCACCAUACAGAACACAGCCGGCUGACAGAGCGACUGGCCCGGGCAUUCUGCCUGGCACUGUGCCCACACCUCAAGCUGCUGAAGGAAGAUGGCAUGGCCAAGCUGGGGCUGCGUGUCACACUGGACUCCCAACAGGUGGGGUUUGUGGCAGGCAGCAAUGGCCUGCCACUCCCAGCCCCGUACCUCAGCACCCUGGACACCGUGCUGACGCCCAUCAUCCACAGCAGGGGGCGCAAGAGGAGCGAGGGACCCGUAGUCAUAGAGCUCAUCUUCUACAUCCUGGAAAACAUCUCUUAGGGGAGGGGGUCAAAGUGCACACGCUCAUCUCCACAUCGCGCCGUCCACUCACCGUCCUCUCUCCUGGCUCUCCAUUUGUGCUGCUGUGAGUUCGAACGAGCUUCAAAACAGCGUUGGUUGAAGGAGUACGCUCAUUUAAUGGACAUAAAAGCUCACCUCCAGGCUCUAUAUGUCUCAGCCAGCCUGUGGCAAGAGGUGGCUGGGUGGUAAGUGGUCUGACUCACCAAAGCUGUUCCAUAGGUCACCCUGCCUUGGCCUCUAACUCAGCAGCAGAAAGAAAUGCCACCCUCAUGUUGUUUUUCCCACUGUCAGGCUUUGUACCAGUGUCACCAGUGUUACUGUGGAAUAACACCAAAACACACACAUGAAACCCGAAAGUGGCCAUGAGAUCAGGGUAUAGUAAUCUGCUUCAUUUCGUGGCUUUAGACCAGUACGUCUGUAUAUUUUCAAUAGAAAUGCCCAUAUUUUGAGAAUGCCUUUAAACUGGGGACUGGAUUCAGCCCCUGACCUUAAAAAGCAAUGGGAAAAAGAGAAUGACUACAAAAGAAAUAUAUCAGUAGAUCUGUAGCUAGCCGUUUGAUGCAUACUGAAUGAAUGAAUGUUUAAGAAUGUUUUCAUAUUUGAAUGUAUUUGAAUUCCUCUUGAUUGCCCCUGAAAUGCAUUACUGUCAACCUAGGAUGAAUUAAACAUGAUAUUAACACAAGGAAAUCAUA
Oncorhynchus kisutch (coho salmon) is the source of this 5297-nucleotide RNA transcript. It is a transcript of the gene named zinc finger FYVE domain-containing protein 9, with no coding region annotated. The record is from RefSeq and is a predicted model, not a curated record. NCBI's taxonomy places the organism in Eukaryota, Metazoa, Chordata, Actinopteri, Salmoniformes, Salmonidae. The transcript has 15 exons.